CUGAAGUUAAGCGUGCUUGGGAUCGAGUAGUACUAGGAUGGGUUACCUCCUGGGAAUUGCUCGUGUUGCACCCCUGGG
This 78-nucleotide ribosomal RNA is filed under the name Melaleuca brevifolia. The record is from RNAcentral. Lineage: Eukaryota; Viridiplantae; Streptophyta; Magnoliopsida; Myrtales; Myrtaceae.